This 362-nucleotide ribosomal RNA is filed under the name uncultured bacterium. RNAcentral's name for it is "partial 16S ribosomal RNA". It matches the Rfam family "Bacterial small subunit ribosomal RNA", at positions 338 to 698 of the family's 1533-position model. The record is from RNAcentral.
CCUACGGGUGGCAGCAGUGAGGAAUAUUGGGCAAUGGGCGGAAGCCUGAACCAGCCAAGUAGCGUGCGGGAUGAAGGCCCUACGGGUCGUAAACCGCUUUUGCACGGGGAUAACACACGCCACUUGUGGAGGUCUGCAGGUACCGUGCGAAUAAGGGCCGGCUAAUUCCGUGCCAGCAGCCGCGGUAAUACGGAAGGCCCGAGCGCUAUCCGGAUUCAUUGGGCUUAAAGGGAGCGUAGGCGGGCGUUCAAGUCAGCUGUAAAAUCGCGCGGCUCAACCGCGCCCCGCAGUUGAAACUGGACGCCUUGAGUUCACCACAGGCCGGCGGAAUUCGUGGUGUAGCUGUGACAUGCCUCGAUCUC